This 695-nucleotide ribosomal RNA is filed under the name uncultured bacterium. RNAcentral's name for it is "bacterial SSU rRNA". It matches the Rfam family "Bacterial small subunit ribosomal RNA", at positions 56 to 752 of the family's 1533-position model. The record is from RNAcentral.
UGCAAGUCGAACGGGAAGCGGUGCUGAUUGCUUCGGUGAUUUAGCGCCGUGGAGAGUGGCGAACGGGUGCGUAACACGUAGGUAACCUGCCCUGAAAGGGGGGAUAACCACGGGAAACUGUGGCUAAUACCGCAUAAUUUCGCCGUGACGGUGGUUGCGGUGAAGAAAGCUUAGGCGAUUUGGGAGGGGCCUGCGGUCGAUUAGCUGGUUGGUGGGGUAAAGGCCCACCAAGGCGAUGAUCGAUAGCUGUUCUGAGAGGAAGACCAGCCACACGGGAACUGAGACGCGGUUCCGACUCCUACGGGGGGCAGCAGUGAGGAAUAUUGCGCAAUGGGGGAAACCCUGACGCAGCAACGCCGCGUGGAGGACGAAGGUUUUCGGAUUGUAAACUCCUUAUCUGGGGGAAGAGAGAGGACGGUACCCCAGGACGAAGACACGGCUAACUAGGUGCCAGCAGCCGCGGUAAUACCUAGGUGUCGAGCGUUAUCCGGAAUUACUGGGCGUAAAGGGUGCGCAGGCGGCGAUACAAGUCUGGCGUGAAAGCUUCUGGCUUAACUGGGAGAGGACGUUAGAAACUGUAUAGCUAGAGUGAAUGAGAGGGGGGCGGAAAUCCCGGUGUAGUGGUGGAAUGCGUAGAUAUCGGGAAGAACACCAGAGGCGAAGGCGGCCUCCUGGCAUUUUACUGACGCUGAGGC